RNAcentral lists this ribosomal RNA (448 nucleotides) under Ateuchus ecuadorense. RNAcentral describes it as "partial 16S ribosomal RNA". Lineage: Eukaryota; Metazoa; Arthropoda; Insecta; Coleoptera; Scarabaeidae. The record is from RNAcentral.
CAUGUCUUUUUGAUUAUAAUUUAAAGUCUGACCUGCCCUAUGAAUUUAUUUUUAAAUGGCUGCGGUACUUUGACCGUGCAAAGGUAGCAUAAUAAUUAGUUUUUUAAUUGGGAACUGGUAUGAAUGGUCGAACGAGAAAAAGACUGUCUCAAUUUAAUUUAAAUUAGAAUUUUAUCUUUAAGUAAGAAAGCUUAAAUAAUUUUAAAAGACGAGAAGACCCUAUAGAGUUUUAUAUAAUUAUAUAUUUUUAAAAAUUAAAGAAUUUCAAAUUUAAUUAUAUAUAAUUAUAUUUGGUUGGGGCAAUUAAAAAAUUAAAUAAAUUUUUUUUAAAUUUUAACAUUGAUAUAUGAUUAAGUGAUCCAUAUUUUAUGAUUAAAAGAUUAAAUUACCUUAGGGAUAACAGCGUAAUUUUUUUUGAGAGUUCUUAUCGAAAAAAAAGUUUGCGACC